Non-coding RNA from Podarcis lilfordi (Lilford's wall lizard), 736 nucleotides. The record is from the annotation of a GenBank genome assembly. Lineage: Eukaryota; Metazoa; Chordata; Lepidosauria; Squamata; Lacertidae.
GUUUGCAUGACGGAGUCAUUUGGUAUUUCUGGGGGACUUCAUAGAGGAUGAAGAGGAUCCCAUCUAGAUCUCUUUCAGAAGGGAAGCCAGACUCCUUUAGAGAGCUCGCCAUGGCCUGGCCUCUGUUCUUCCUGGCACUUCUGAGCUACUGCUCAAGUAAAUCCCCCACAGCUGUCUAUGGAUGCUUGUUUGUAAUUUCUUUUUGUUUUUAACUUGUCUUUAACUUUCUAUGAUUUUAUUGUUUUUAUAUUGUUGUAAACCAUGGUGAUCUUCUAUUUUAUGAGACAGAGGAAUAUAAAUAUUUUCAUAAAUAAAAGUAUGGAGGAUUCAGUAUACACAGCCCAAGAUCAAAUCUCUUUUCAUGAUGUACUCAUCAUGGGGACAUUAUGCUUUUUGUGAAAGUCAUGACUUAUUUCCUAUUUCUUUGUUCAGGUGUCACUUCACAAGCAACAGUGACGCAGCCUGCUUCUUCAUCUGUCGCCCUCGGACAAACAGCUAAACUCUCCUGCACUGGCAGUCAUGGUGGGAGCUGGUCCGGCUAUCAGUGGCAUCAACAGAAACCCGGACAGGCUCCUCGCUUGGUGGUCCGUGGUACCAGCACCCGGGGAGAAGGGAUCCCAGAUCGGUUCACUGGCUCUUCCUCUGCAAACCCUUACUACUUAACCAUCUCCAACACCCAGGCAGAAGAUGAGGCCGUUUAUUACUGUCUUGCUUGGGAGGACAAAAGUAAAAUGUU